Sander lucioperca (pikeperch) is the source of this 100-nucleotide long non-coding RNA. RefSeq lists it as uncharacterized. The transcript has 3 exons. The record is from RefSeq and is a predicted model, not a curated record. NCBI's taxonomy places the organism in Eukaryota, Metazoa, Chordata, Actinopteri, Perciformes, Percidae.
AACGCUAGCUAACACUUGCACUGACUUUUUGCAUUAUCUACACUAUAUACACUUAAAACUAAGUGUUUGAAGUGUGCAAGUAGGCGGUUUGAGACACAGC